UGGGCCUAAAGCAUCCGUAGCCGGUUGCAUAAGUUUUCGGUUAAAUCUAUGCGCUCAACGUAUAGGCCGCCGAAAAUACUGUGCAGCUAGGGAGUGGGAGAGGUACACGGUACUCAGUAGGAAGGGGUAAAAUCCUUUGAUCUAUUGAUGACCACCUGUGGCGAAGGCGGUGUACCAGAACACGUUCGACGGUGAGGGAUGAAAGCUGGGGGAGCAAACCGGAUUAGAUACCCGGGUAGUCCCAGCUGUAAACGAUGCAGACUCGGUGAUGCAUUGGCUUGUGGCCAAUGCAGUGCCGCAGGGAAGCCGUUAAGUCUGCCGCCUGGGAAGUACGUACGCAAGUAUGAAACUUAAAGGAAUUGGCGGGGGAGCACAAGCC
This 379-nucleotide ribosomal RNA is filed under the name uncultured Nitrososphaerota archaeon. Its description in RNAcentral is "bacterial SSU rRNA". It matches the Rfam family "Archaeal small subunit ribosomal RNA", at positions 505 to 884 of the family's 1478-position model. The record is from RNAcentral. Lineage: Archaea; Thermoproteati; Nitrososphaerota.